GGCGGACGGGUGAGUAACGCGUGGGUAACCUGCCAUAUGCUGGGGGACAACAGUUAGAAAUGACUGCUAAUACCGCAUAAGCGCACAGAAUCGCAUGAUUCAGUGUGAAAAACUCCGGUGGCAUAUGAUGGACCCGCGUCUGAUUAGCUGGUUGGUGAGGUAACGGCUCACCAAGGCGACGAUCAGUAGCCGGCCUGAGGGGGUGAACGGCCACAUUGGGACUGAGACACGGCCCAAACUCCUACGGGAGGCAGCAGUGGGGAAUAUUGCACAAUGGGGGAAACCCUGAUGCAGCGACGCCGCGUGAGGGAAGACUGCCCUAAGGGUUGUAAACCUCUUUUGUCAGGGAGCAAGAACUUCAUGCGUGAAGUAGUGAGAGUACCUGAAGAAAAAGCAUCGGCUAACUCCGUGCCAGCAGCCGCGGUAAUACGGAGGAUGCGAGCGUUAUCCGGAUUUAUUGGGUUUAAAGGGUGCGUAGGCGGAUUGUUAAGUCAGUGGUAAAAAUGCGGGGCUCAACCUCGUCGAGCCAUUGAAACUGAUGGUCUAGAGUGAGUGAGAAGUAUGCGGAAUGCGAGGGGUAGCGGUGAAAUGCAUAGAUAUCACGCAGAACUCCGAUUGCGAAGGCAGCAUACCGGCACUCAACUGACGCUGAAGCACGAAAGCGUGGGUAUCGAACAGGAUUAGAUACCCUGGUAGUCCACGCAGUAAACGAUGAAUACUAAUUGUUCGAGCGAACGAGUUUGAGUGAUACAGCGAAAGCGUUAAGUAUUCCACCUGGGGAGUACGCCGGCAACGGUGAAACUCAAAGGAAUUGACGGGGGGCCGCACAAGCGGAGGAACAUGUGGUUUAAUUCGAUGAUACGCGAGGAACCUUACCCGGGCUUGAAUUGCGACUGACUCAAGUGGAGACAUUUGAUUCUUCGGACAGUCGCGAAGGUGCUGCAUGGUUGUCGUCAGCUCGUGCCGUGAGGUGUCGGCUUAAGUGCCAUAACGAGCGCAACCCUUACCGGUAGUUACCAUCGAGUGAUGUCGGGGACUCUACCGGGACUGCCGUCGUAAGAUGUGAGGAAGGUGGGGAUGACGUCAAAUCAGCACGGCCCUUACGUCCGGGGCUACACACGUGUUACAAUGGGAGGUACAGCAGGUUGCUACCCGGCGACGGGAUGCUAAUCCCUAAAUCCUCUCUCAGUUCGGAUUGGAGUCUGCAACCCGACUCCAUGAAGCUGGAUUCGCUAGUAAUCGCGCAUCAGCCACGGCGCGGUGAAUACGUUCCCGGGCUUUGU
This 1283-nucleotide ribosomal RNA is filed under the name uncultured bacterium. Its description in RNAcentral is "bacterial SSU rRNA". It matches the Rfam family "Bacterial small subunit ribosomal RNA", at positions 97 to 1384 of the family's 1533-position model. The record is from RNAcentral.